AACGAACGCUGGCGGCGUGCUUAACACAUGCAAGUCGAACGUGAAAGGGACUUCGGUCCUGAGUAAAGUGGCGCACGGGUGAGUAACACGUGGAUAAUCUACCCGAUGGACCGGGAUAACACUUCGAAAGGGGUGCUAAUACCGGAUAAGCCCACAGGCUCUUUGGAGUUUGCGGGAAAAGGUGGGGACCUUCGGGCCUACUGUCAUUGGAUGAGUCCGCGGCCCAUUAGCUAGUUGGCAGGGUAAUGGCCUACCAAGGCAACGAUGGUUAGCUGGUCUGAGAGGAUGGCCAGCCACACUGGAACUGAGACACGGUCCAGACUCCUACGGGAGGCAGCAGUGAGGAAUCUUGCGCAAUGGGGGAAACCCUGACGCAGCAACGCCGCGUGAGUGAGGAAGGCCUU
This 404-nucleotide ribosomal RNA is filed under the name uncultured bacterium. RNAcentral describes it as "bacterial SSU rRNA". It matches the Rfam family "Bacterial small subunit ribosomal RNA", at positions 29 to 418 of the family's 1533-position model. The record is from RNAcentral.